AAAGACAGAAUUAGAGGGCAGGGUAAUGGAACAAAAAGAGCCUGAAAUAGGAAGUUACAGGUGCAAAAUGAAGGAGAUGGAUUAGAAGAAUUCAAAGGACUCUUAGUUCUAAAAAACCUACAAUCUGAAGGAGCAAGAAAAUACAGUUAAAGGGAGUCAAGAAGAUGCAGGCUUACUGCAAGCACCACUGUCCAGAGAUGCCCUUCUAUCUUUCAUUCCACAAGGCUACUUAGGAUGCUGGUAAUUUACUAAAUAGAGGGCUACAAACAGUACCUGGCAUGCAGGAAGCACUUAAUAAAUACUUGUUGGUUAAUUGAUCAUUUAUUAUUAAGUGCAGAAACUAAGUCUUUUUACUUCUUCAUUAACACCUGGUGGAACAUCAAGGAAACCAGGAAAGCUGGAAGGUGGAGAUGAAAAGGGAGAGAGUUCCAAACAAGGGGAAAAGUUGGUGAAAAUGCUCAGAGUUGAGACAUAAAGUAUCUUCUGCAAAGAAAAGCAAGGAGGUGAGAGAAGACUAUUGAAGUUUAUUGAGGAGGGCAACAUGGUCAAAUCUUCAUUUUAGUAGGUUCACUUUGACAGCAGAGUGGAGGAUGAAAUGGAGUACAGACAGAUUUGUGGUAAGAAGACAGGUCUAUUGAGGACUUAUAUCAGGGUUAUAGGCAGUGUCAGAGAAGAGAGGUGAGAGAAGACAAAAGAGAUAUUCUGAAAGUAAAAUAGAAAAGACUUUGAUAACAGAUUGGGUCUGGGGAAUGAAAGUAAGGAAUCAAGGAUGACGCCAAGAUUGCAAGCUUCAAUGAUAUGGCAGUUAAGUUAUAGUAUGUGAUUGUAAUGGAAUACUCUUAUUCUAUAAGAAAUGAUGAUCUCAAUAAUCU
Molecule: long non-coding RNA, 872 nt
Organism: Sarcophilus harrisii (Tasmanian devil)
Lineage: Eukaryota; Metazoa; Chordata; Mammalia; Dasyuromorphia; Dasyuridae
Exons: 5
Source: RefSeq, a predicted model, not a curated record